CUCUUGAAUCACAGAAUCAUCAAAUCACCAAAGUUGAAAAAGACCUUCAAGAUCAUCCAGUCCAACCAUCCACCUACCACCAAUAUUUCCCCACUAAACCAUGUCCCUCUGUACGACAUCUAAAUGUUUUCUGAACACCUCCUGGGAAGGUGACUCCACCACCUCUUUGGGCAGCCCAUUUUAGCAUCAAACCACACCUCUGAAGAAGCAAUUUUUCCUAUGUCCACUCUGAAUCUUCCUGGCACAACUUGAGGCCAUAAACAUGCAACCUGCUGUUAAUACUUUUCCUAAUGUCCUGACAAUACUGAAUGAGAAACACAUCAAUCUCCUGCUAGAUAUCUCUGAAUAAAGUCAAUAGAACAACAAAGAAAGUAGGAGAUGCUAACAUCUGAGAAAAAAUACUGAGCAGGGGAAAUAAAACAAGAAGAAGGCAAUGAAGUGGCAGCCCUUCCCUAAGGCAACAGACACAUUCCUGCCAGCUGCAUUAAUAACUUCCACCUUGUGACACCGAAAACACUGGGGAACUGUUUAAAAGCGUCCUGUCUUGUACAGAUACAUACAGAAGCAGCAAUUACAGUAACAAGAGGAAUAAUAAUGACAAGAAAAAGCACAAGGUGGAAAAAGUCUGUGAAGAAAGUGUGGGCGAAAGCAUUUUUUCAGGUUCCUUGCACGAAAUAUUCCCAAGCAACAGACACUGUGAAGUGGGAGAAAUCCACAACUUCUACAACAUUUUGUCUGAACGCCCUCGCAAAGACAAAGGAGUGGGCUUCAAGACAGUUCUCACUGAGUCAUUAAGGGCAGGGAACAGAAGAGACAGAAGGAUAUGAGACAUCUUUGAACGCAGCGUAUACAGCGGACUACUGAGAAAUUCUAACCCAAACGUCUAGACUAAGUGGAAAAACUUGAAGGAAAAGAAAAUAAAAACAACAC
RNAcentral lists this long non-coding RNA (930 nucleotides) under Phasianus colchicus (ring-necked pheasant). RNAcentral describes it as "lncRNA (ENSPCLG00000021879.1)". Lineage: Eukaryota; Metazoa; Chordata; Aves; Galliformes; Phasianidae. The record is from RNAcentral.